AGCAGCCGCGGUAAUUCCAGCUCCAAUAGCGUAUAUUAAAGUUGUUGCAGUUAAAAAGCUCGUAGUUGAAUUUCGGGGUUAGUAGGUUGGUCAUGCCUCUGGUAUGUACUGGUCUCACUGAUUCCUCCUUCCUGAUGAACCUUAAUGCCAUUUAUUUGGUGUUUUGGGAAUUUGGACUGUUACUUUGAAAAAAUUAGAGUGUUUAAAGCAAGCUAACGCUUGAAUACAUUAGCAUGGAAUAAUGAAAUAGGACGUUCGAUCCUAUUUUGUUGGUUUCUAGGAUUGACGUAAUGAUUAAUAGGGAUAGUUGGGGGCAUUAGUAUUCAAUUGUCAGAGGUGAAAUUCUUGGAUUUAUUGAAGACUAACUACUGCGAAAGCAUUUGCCAAGGNUGUUUUCAUUAAUCAAGAACGAAAGUUAGGGAUCGAAGACGAUCAGAUACCGUCGUAGUCUUAACCGUAACUAUGCCGACUAGGGGAUCGGGAUGGAUUGUUUAAUUUUUUAAGUGUACUCUAGUUCGGC
RNAcentral lists this ribosomal RNA (520 nucleotides) under uncultured Glomus. Its description in RNAcentral is "SSU rRNA". It matches the Rfam family "Eukaryotic small subunit ribosomal RNA", at positions 569 to 1084 of the family's 1831-position model. Lineage: Eukaryota; Fungi; Glomeromycota; Glomeromycetes; Glomerales; Glomeraceae. The record is from RNAcentral.